Molecule: long non-coding RNA, 522 nt
Organism: Hibiscus syriacus
Lineage: Eukaryota; Viridiplantae; Streptophyta; Magnoliopsida; Malvales; Malvaceae
Exons: 4
Source: RefSeq, a predicted model, not a curated record
GGAAGCCUAUAUUUGUGGUCUUAUUCCUAACCUGGCACAACUACGGGAUAUGCCUGGAGCCUUUGUUCAAAUGUAUUGUCGCAUAGCUGCACACAAAUUCUUCUUCUUUUGAGAUCCUCAUAGAUGAGGGAAAACCUGCGCUUCUUAGCAAUUGCCUCCAGGAAUUAAUGGAACUACAUCAGGAAAGUGAGGAAGAAGUCACUGACACUGAGCAAGCCGGAAAUUGGUUUUCCUUGACAUCUUACUACACUUGCAAAUCACGGAAGAGUUUGCAAAAGACGGGAAAAAGGUAGACGAGGAAAGUGGCUUAAAUGGAUAAGAAUUUUGAAUACUGCUGCGGCCUAACGGGAUUACCACUCCGAAGCUGUAAACAUCAACCUUUGCAUUGAUAUUUGUUGUCUGCAAUUUAAAUGCUAACUUUGUGUUAAAAGAGAUACUCUGAUUCCAAAUAUGGUUGAAAUUGAUAAGGGGAUAAGAAUAUGUUUCGAGGCAUUUUCACCAGGGAUGAGGUAUUCGAAAGAU